UACGUAGGCAGCAAGCGUUGUUCGGAGUUACUGGGCGUAAAGAGUGCGUAGGCGGUUUCGCAAGUUUGGUGUGAAAUCUCCCGGCUUAACUGGGAGGGUGCGCCGAAAACUGCGGGGCUGGAGUGGGGGAGAGGUAAGCGGAAUUCCUGGUGUAGCGGUGAAAUGCGUAGAUAUCAGGAGGAACACCGGCGGUGUAGACGGCUUACUGGACCCUGACUGACGCUGAGGCACGAAAGCGUGGGGAGCAAACAGG
This 253-nucleotide ribosomal RNA is filed under the name uncultured bacterium. Its description in RNAcentral is "partial 16S ribosomal RNA". It matches the Rfam family "Bacterial small subunit ribosomal RNA", at positions 524 to 776 of the family's 1533-position model. The record is from RNAcentral.